Small nuclear RNA from Oryctolagus cuniculus (rabbit), 88 nucleotides. Its record names the gene U2. It matches the Rfam family "U2 spliceosomal RNA". Rfam says of the family: U2 is a small nuclear RNA (snRNA) component of the spliceosome (involved in pre-mRNA splicing). Lineage: Eukaryota; Metazoa; Chordata; Mammalia; Lagomorpha; Leporidae. The record is from Ensembl.
AUUGCUUCUGAGCCUUUUGGCUAAGAUUAAGUGUAGCAACUGUUCUUUUUUAAUUAAUUAAUUUAUUUAUUUGAAAGGCAGAGUUACA